CCUGGACAUACCUUGCAUGGACUUUGACUCUGUUAGAGAUCCUAGGCUUCCUGAUCAAUUGGGAGAAAUCCAUUAUCGUUCCCACGCAACAAAUCAAAUUUCUGGGUUUUAUUGGAUUAUUGUAGAUUCCUACCCUUCAAACUCUACACUUUCCGGUGGCAAAAUUAGCCAAUAUCAAGAAGGAGAUAGGCGAACACUAGCAACCUCUCAACUCUCUCUCAAACAACUGUCGAGAAUGUUAGGCCUUCUAGCGGCAUUUAUACAGGCCAUGUUUCAAGAUCUUCUUGGCUAUUGAGCCCUACAAGGAUUACAAACUACAUCUCCAGGGCAGCGCAUCGACACUCCACAUGAAUUGUUUGGACCUUCUGGCCGGUUCCUUUGCGGUCUGAAGUUUCUCCCCAACUCAAGCCCAAAUGCUCAACCC
Molecule: non-coding RNA, 424 nt
Organism: Pelobates cultripes (western spadefoot toad)
Lineage: Eukaryota; Metazoa; Chordata; Amphibia; Anura; Pelobatidae
Source: the annotation of a GenBank genome assembly